This 813-nucleotide ribosomal RNA is filed under the name uncultured bacterium. RNAcentral describes it as "bacterial SSU rRNA". It matches the Rfam family "Bacterial small subunit ribosomal RNA", at positions 43 to 840 of the family's 1533-position model. The record is from RNAcentral.
UUGGCCCAUUGAUUGAUGGUGCUUGCACCUGAUUGAUUUUGGUUGCCAACGAGUGGCGGACGGGUGAGUAACACGUAGGUAACCUGCCCAGAAGCGGGGGACAACAUUUGGAAACAGAUGCUAAUACCGCAUAACAGCGUUGUUCGCAUGAACAACGCUUAAAAGAUGGCUUCUCGCUAUCACUUCUGGAUGGACCUGCGGUGCAUUAGCUUGUUGGUGGGGUAACGGCCUACCAAGGCGAUGAUGCAUAGCCGAGUUGAGAGACUGAUCGGCCACAAUGGGACUGAGACACGGCCCAUACUCCUACGGGAGGCAGCAGUAGGGAAUCUUCCACAAUGGGCGCAAGCCUGAUGGAGCAACACCGCGUGAGUGAAGAAGGGUUUCGGCUCGUAAAGCUCUGUUGUUAAAGAAGAACACGUAUGAGAGUAACUGUUCAUACGUUGACGGUAUUUAACCAGAAAGUCACGGCUAACUACGUGCCAGCAGCCGCGGUAAUACGUAGGUGGCAAGCGUUAUCCGGAUUUAUUGGGCGUAAAGAGAGUGCAGGCGGUUUUCUAAGUCUGAUGUGAAAGCCUUCGGCUUAACCGGAGAAGUGCAUCGGAAACUGGAUAACUUGAGUGCAGAAGAGGGUAGUGGAACUCCAUGUGUAGCGGUGGAAUGCGUAGAUAUAUGGAAGAACACCAGUGGCGAAGGCGGCUACCUGGUCUGCAACUGACGCUGAGACUCGAAAGCAUGGGUAGCGAACAGGAUUAGAUACCCUGGUAGUCCAUGCCGUAAACGAUGAGUGCUAGGUGUUGGAGGGUUUCCGCCCUU